UCAUCCAGAAUAGACUUGGAGACAUGAGGCUGACGAAGAAUUAUUCAUUCUUUUUCAAGUCUUAGGACAGCAAAAAUGCAAGUCUUAAUUUUGCAGCCACUAGGACAUCCACGAGUGAACAAAGAUUUCCCACCAGCCCACCAGGAUGCCAGAGUGAUUCACAUGUCUGUGGAGCUGAGGGCAGGACCUCCUUCCUCUUUCUGCGGAGACCCAUCUCCUCCCCUUAUGUAGGAGGCGGAUGCAAGAUGGCGCCUUGGCACCCUGCCGGAGCACACGGCGAGGUACGGCCUGCCGGCCUCUAGUG
Molecule: long non-coding RNA, 304 nt
Organism: Suricata suricatta (meerkat)
Lineage: Eukaryota; Metazoa; Chordata; Mammalia; Carnivora; Herpestidae
Exons: 3
Source: RefSeq, a predicted model, not a curated record